UAAGGAAUAUUGGUCAAUGGACGCAAGUCUGAACCAGCCAUGCCGCGUGGAGGAUGAAGGUCCUCUGGAUUGUAAACUUCUUUUCUCUGGGACGAAACCCCCGAUUUCCAUCGGGCCUGACGGUACCAGAGGAAUAAGCACCGGCUAACUCCGUGCCAGCAGCCGCGGUAAUACGGAGGGUGCAAGCGUUAUCCGGAUUCACUGGGUUUAAAGGGUGCGUAGGCGGGUUUGUAAGUCAGUGGUGAAAUCCCCGAGCUUAACUUGGGAACUGCCAUUGAUACUGCAGAUCUUGAAUUUUCUGGAGGUAAGCGGAAUAUGUCAUGUAGCGGUGAAAUGCUUAGAUAUGACAUAGAACACCCAUUGCGAAGGCAGCUUACUACGGGAAUAUUGACGCUGAGGCACGAAAGCGUGGGGAUCAAACAGG
RNAcentral lists this ribosomal RNA (424 nucleotides) under uncultured bacterium. RNAcentral describes it as "bacterial SSU rRNA". It matches the Rfam family "Bacterial small subunit ribosomal RNA", at positions 355 to 776 of the family's 1533-position model. RNAcentral also lists the same sequence under 1 other name. The record is from RNAcentral.